Molecule: ribosomal RNA, 458 nt
Filed under: uncultured bacterium
Lineage: Bacteria
Description: SSU rRNA
Rfam family: Bacterial small subunit ribosomal RNA
Source: RNAcentral
AGAAUCAACGCUGGCGGCGUGCCUAACACAUGCAAGUCGCACGAGAAAAGGUAGCAAUACCUGAGUAAAGUGGCGCACGGGUGAGUAACACGUGACUAAUCUACCCUCGAGUGGGGAAUAACCUAGAGAAAUCUGGGCUAAUACCGCAUAACACUUACGAGUCAAAGCAGCAAUGCGCUUGGGGAGGAGGUCGCGGCCGAUUAGCUAGUUGGCGGGGUAAUGGCCCACCAAGGCGAUGAUCGGUAUCCGGCCUGAGAGGGCGCACGGACACACUGGAACUGAAACACGGUCCAGACUCCUACGGGAGGCAGCAGUGGGGAAUUUUGCGCAAUGGGGGAAACCCUGACGCAGCAACGCCGCGUGGAGGAUGAAAUAUCUUGGUAUGUAAACUCCUUUCGAUGGGGAGAUUAUGACGGUACCAUAGAAGAAGCCCCGGCUAACUUCGUGCCAGCAGCCGC